Molecule: ribosomal RNA, 607 nt
Filed under: Neopestalotiopsis clavispora
Lineage: Eukaryota; Fungi; Ascomycota; Sordariomycetes; Amphisphaeriales; Sporocadaceae
Description: eukaryotic LSU rRNA
Rfam family: Eukaryotic large subunit ribosomal RNA
Source: RNAcentral
GCAUAUCAAUAAGCGGAGGAAAAGAAACCAACAGGGAUUGCCUUAGUAACGGCGAGUGAAGCGGCAACAGCUCAAAUUUGAAAUCUGGCCCUUGGGUCCGAAUUGUAAUUUGUAGAGGAUGAUUUUGGUGCGGUAUCUUCCGAGUUCCUUGGAACAGGACGCCUUAGAGGGUGAGAGCCCCGUACGGUUGAAUGCCUAGCCUCUGUAAAUCUCCUUCGACGAGUCGAGUAGUUUGGGAAUGCUGCUCUAAAUGGGAGGUAAAUUUCUUCUAAAGCUAAAUAUUGGCCAGAGACCGAUAGCGCACAAGUAGAGUGAUCGAAAGAUGAAAAGCACUUUGAAAAGAGGGUUAAAUAGCACGUGAAAUUGUUGAAAGGGAAGGAUUUGUGACCAGACUUUUUCUGGGCGGAUCAUCCGGGGUUCUCUCCGGUGCACUUCGCCCAGUAAAGGCCAGCAUCGGUUUUCGGCGUGGGAUAAAAGCAGUAGGAAUGUGGCUCUCUACGGGGAGUGUUAUAGCCUAUUGUAUAAUACCGCGCUGGGGACCGAGGUUCGCGCUUCUGCAAGGAUGCUGGCGUAAUGGUUAUCAAUCACCCGUCUUGAAACACGGACC